This 136-nucleotide small nucleolar RNA is filed under the name Kryptolebias marmoratus (mangrove rivulus). RNAcentral describes it as "Small nucleolar RNA SNORD94 (ENSKMAG00000002923.1)". Lineage: Eukaryota; Metazoa; Chordata; Actinopteri; Cyprinodontiformes; Rivulidae. The record is from RNAcentral.
CGUGUGAUGAUGAGAGGCGCAGGGGUACCGACCUCAGCCAGAUGAUGGGGGCUGAGUGCUGCUGCAGAACCUGAUCAGGAACAUGUGGUUCUCCAUCAGAAUCAGCAGCAGCGCGACACAGACGCCUGACUGAACG